AACGAACGCUGGCGGCAUGCCUAACACAUGCAAGUCGAACGAGACCUUCGGGUCUAGUGGCGCACGGGUGCGUAACGCGUGGGAACCUGCCCUUAGGUUCGGAAUAACUCCCCGAAAGGGGUGCUAAUACCGGAUAAUGUCUUCGGACCAAAGAUUUAUCGCCUUUGGAUGGGCCCGUGUUGGAUUAGCUAGUUGGUAGGGUAAAAGCCUACCAAGGCGACGAUCCAUAGCUGGUCUGAGAGGAUGAUCAGCCACACUGGGACUGAGACACGGCCCAGACUCUUACGGGAGGCAGCAGUGGGGAAUAUUGGACAAUGGGCGAAAGCCUGAUGCAGCAAUGCCGCGUGAGUGAUGAAGGCCUUAGGGUUGUAAAGCUCUUUUACCCGGGAUGAUAAUGACAGUACCGGGAGAAUAAGCGCCGGCUAACUCCGUG
RNAcentral lists this ribosomal RNA (433 nucleotides) under uncultured bacterium. RNAcentral describes it as "partial 16S ribosomal RNA". It matches the Rfam family "Bacterial small subunit ribosomal RNA", at positions 29 to 507 of the family's 1533-position model. The record is from RNAcentral.